Molecule: long non-coding RNA, 568 nt
Organism: Bubalus bubalis (water buffalo)
Lineage: Eukaryota; Metazoa; Chordata; Mammalia; Artiodactyla; Bovidae
Exons: 3
Source: RefSeq, a predicted model, not a curated record
AAAGAAAAAAAAAGAAAAAGGAGAAGGGAAAGAAAGAAGAAAACAAAGGAAAAGAAAAGGAAGGAAGGAAGAAAAAAGGAAGGAGGUGGGAGAGAAACAGCCUUCUCUGUCACAGCAAGUCCACCCCGCGUUCUCAAGGCUGGAGGACGCGGCGGGCGUGGAGAAGCUUUAUGGAUUCCAUAGCGGGAGGCAGUACAGCUUCAUAGAGGGUUUUAAGCAAGUGGCGGAGGAUUUGCGGAACAGCUGUGCGGCAGGCGCACGUGCUUCGAGGUGGAACAGCCCCGUCAGCACCGGGGCUGUCCGGGCACACACCCUCACACCCUCCGCGCGCACAGCUGGGACCCAUCAGGGCUGCAAGGAAUUAAUACUCUUAACCUGGUAUUUUAUUGGACCUAGAGGAGCCUGAUGCUAUAUUAAAUCCGCGGCACGGGCUGGGAGUCAGGACAUCAACCCAUCUUUGGUGUUGGGUGUGGGGGGAGACAUAAUUCAACACACAAGAGAUGUGUUUGAUGAUCCAAGCAGCGUGAGAAGCACGGACUCGGGAGCAGUCUGGGUUCAGAUCCGACUG